UGAGAGUGUAUGUGUGUGUGUGUGUGUGAGAGAGAGAGAAAGAGAGAGAGAGAGUGUGUGUGUGUGUGUGCAGAGUUACUGGAGGAUGGCAAAGGGGAGAACCAUAGAUAGGGAUACAGCUUAGUGGUACCUAGUGUGCUGUUCAAUAAACAAGAAAACAAACAAAUAUAUUUACAGUCUGGUGACAAUCUUGGGGGGGUGCUAUAGUCAAAUAAGUACUAAAUCCAACAACAACAAUAAUAAUAAUAAUAAUAAUAAUGAUAAUAAUAACAAUGAUAAUAAUGAUAAUAAUAUUGGUAGUGGUGGUUGCAGUAUAGUUCAAGUAGUUGUAGUUAGUUCUCCUGCACAGCUUUUUUUCUCUUUGUUUCGCCAUUUUGAGAACUGAGGGUUGAAGAGCUGGCUGUGUCUCAUGUUUAAGCCUGACACGGAGCGCUGCUCAGUUGUGAAAGAGAAUGUCUGUGCACGAGUCAUGGCUUUAGUUGCCUCAAACGUUCACUGUGUGAGCAAAAGCUAAAAGGGAUGAUGUCAAAACACCGUGAGUAACUGUUUGCACAUUAAAUAUGAAUAUAUAUAUAUAUUUUUCACAGUAGUAUUUUGAUCAUGUCUGAAUGCUGAAACACAGAGAUAAGGCUGUUUGAGUGCAAAUAAAGCAACAGAGUGGUAUUUUCCACAUUCCCCUGUGAUUGAAGAGUGCAGAGUUUGUAUUUAUUGCAGUUGGUCAAAGGGGAAGCUCUUGCUCACUCCAACAGUGAGGGAUGAUGAGGGAGAGGAGGAAGAGGAUGAUGAAGGAUUUCUGCUCUAUUGAGAUGAGAAAACAAGAUUCACUUCACAAUGGAGCCAAAGACAACAAACCAAACCCUUAACCUGUCAUGGGACUAUGGACAAGUGCGACCAUACACCUCUCCAAACCAAACCCUUAACCUCUCAUGGGACUAUGGACAAGUGCGACCAUACACCUCUCCAAACAUGGAAGAGCUUUGCUGAUGAAGUCAGCACACUCAGCACUCUUCAGCAAUUGGUUUUGCUUCUGCUAUAGUCAGCACUACUGACAUAUGGAAGUGAAAGCUUCUUACAUAAGGCUGCGACAUGACCUGACCACUAAGAUAGUUGCAACAACAGCAUCUUUUAACGUUCAUUUUUUCAACCCAGCCUGAUCUGACGACGGUUUCUAUUCCGCCUGGAGUUUUCGCGUCACUUGCGUCACCCAGUUCGUUGGUCAGAUGCGUACAGUCAUUUGAACUAUGCCCGUUGAUCACGCCUCUUGUGCAGUAUAGAAAAUGCAACUGUUGUUAUAUAAUGGUCACACUGUGGUACAGUUUAAAUGAUUACCAUAAAGUACAUAAUAGUACAGUAUAGAGUGCAAACAACAUAAAUGUGUAUUGCAUAUGGGAUGAAGAUGUUAUGUGUGUGCAAGGCCAAUAUUUGAGCAAAAGCUGCAAAUGGCUGCCACAUGGCUACUGUGAGAUUCCCUCGUUGUUGCGCUGUGUUUUAGUUGUAAUGUUUGUAUUGAAGAUGGUCAAUAAAGCUUGAUGGCUGGAUCAGGA
Alosa sapidissima (American shad) is the source of this 1544-nucleotide long non-coding RNA. RefSeq lists it as uncharacterized. The transcript is spliced from 4 exons. The record is from RefSeq and is a predicted model, not a curated record. Lineage: Eukaryota; Metazoa; Chordata; Actinopteri; Clupeiformes; Clupeidae.